CAACGUAGGUAAUCUACCUUCGGAUGGGGAAUAACAACCGGAAACGGUUGCUAAUACCGCAUAAUGCAGCGGCACCUAAUGGUGACAGUUGUUAAAGCGGGGGAUUGAAAGACCUCGCGUCUGAAGAGGAGCCUGCGGCGGAUUAGCUAGUUGGUAAGGUAACGGCUUACCAAGGCGACGAUCCGUAGCCGGCCUGAGAGGGCGGUCGGCCACACUGACACUGACAUACGGGUCAG
Molecule: ribosomal RNA, 236 nt
Filed under: uncultured bacterium
Lineage: Bacteria
Description: partial 16S ribosomal RNA
Rfam family: Bacterial small subunit ribosomal RNA
Source: RNAcentral